UUAGCUCUGGCCAGGGGCGCUGCAACGGGCUCAGCCUUCUAGGGGUGGCGGGUGAAGGCCUACACCUGCCCCAGGACGGCCAGGUCCACCAGCACCUGCAACAGACGGAGAACUGAAGGAGCAUCUUGAAGCUGUGGCUGUCUUGAAGGUGUCGCCGCUUGUCCUCACGAGCACCAUUUUGAUUCUCGUGCCCUGUGUGCAUGGGUGGCCAGCGUUGCUGGUAGGGCUCCUGCACGCUCAGAGUGGCCUUGGCCAGGAAGUCCAGGGUUUCCGCAGGCAGAGUGUAUGAACAAGAUGCCACAGACAUGUGAGAAAUGGAACUUUUGACAAGAUCUGUGAAAAGAAUGGUAUUUUAUUGUAUUAGGAUUCUCCAGAGGGACAGAACUGAUCGGAUAUAUGUGUAUAUGAAAAGGAGUUUAUUAGGGAGAAUUGGCUCACAUGAUCAUAAGGCA
Molecule: long non-coding RNA, 452 nt
Filed under: Homo sapiens (human)
Lineage: Eukaryota; Metazoa; Chordata; Mammalia; Primates; Hominidae
Description: novel transcript
Source: RNAcentral